UAUUGCUACUUAUGCCUGCACCUGAGCCCAGGCACACAUCUGGAUUAGAAGAUGCCAGGCUCAGAGGAUCUUCCUAAAGGCAAGGACCAGAUGCAUUCACACAGGAAAUGAACUGUGUUCACUGAGAAGCAACUGGAAGAUCUGAACAUCUUGUUCAAUGAGAACCCAUACCCAAACCCCUGCCCUCAGAAAUAAAUGGCCUCGAAAAUAGACAUACACCCAACAAUACUCCAGGUCUGGUUCAAGAACCACAGAGCAAAACUCAAGAAAGCCAAAUAAAAGCAUAUUCAGCAAAAACAAGAAACUCCACAACCGCCAAUACCGGAGGGUGGAGUCACCACCAGUGUCGGCCUGAGAAAUGCAGACACACUACCCAGAUUGCCCAACACUGCUCACCUGAUUGGCCUGGUGUACAUGGGUCAUCGGGUACCCUCUUUCCAGCUCAUCCUGUACCCCAACAUCAAGGUCCCUGCAGAUGACUUCGUUGGCCACAGAAUAGUCCAUUUUGGCUGCUGCCAAGCUCCUAACGUAUAUGGCUUCUACCCCAUUUUGGAAUCCCAAGUUUGGGCUCCAAGCUUCAAUUCUGACUCUUCUGCCUGUUCAUCUCUACAAAGUUGAGAGAUGAUAAAUACAAAAAGUCACAUGUAAAAAAAAAUAAAUACUAA
Molecule: long non-coding RNA, 665 nt
Filed under: Homo sapiens (human)
Lineage: Eukaryota; Metazoa; Chordata; Mammalia; Primates; Hominidae
Description: non-protein coding lnc-ADAP2-5:1
Source: RNAcentral